CCAGACUCCUACGGGAGGCAGCAGUAAGGGAUAUUGGUCAAUGGGGGAAACCCUGAACCAGCAACGCCGCGUGAGGGAAGACGGUUUUCGGAUUGUAAACCUCUGUCCUCUGUGAAGAUGAUGACGGUAGCAGAGGAGGAAGCUCCGGCUAACUACGUGCCAGCAGCCGCGGUAAUACGUAGGGAGCGAGCGUUGUCCGGAUUUACUGGGUGUAAAGGGAGCGUAGACGGCAGCGCAAGUUUGAAGUGAAAUGCCGGGGCUUAACCCCGGAACUGCUUUGGAAACUGAGCAGCUAGAGUGCAGGAGAGGUAAGUGGAAUUCCUAGUGUAGCGGUGAAAUGCGUAGAUAUUAGGAGGAACACCAGUGGCGAAGGCGACUUUCUGGACUGUACCUGACGCUGAGGCGCGAAAGCGUGGGUAGCGAACGGGAUUAGAUACCCGCGUA
RNAcentral lists this ribosomal RNA (444 nucleotides) under uncultured bacterium. Its description in RNAcentral is "partial 16S ribosomal RNA". It matches the Rfam family "Bacterial small subunit ribosomal RNA", at positions 331 to 792 of the family's 1533-position model. The record is from RNAcentral.